CAGUAGCCACGGUAAUACGUAGGGUGCGAGCGUUAAUCGGAAUUACUGGGCGUAAAGCGUGCGCAGGCGGUUUUGUAAGACAGGCGUGAAAUCCCCGGGCUCAACCUGGGAAUGGCGCUUGUGACUGCAAAGCUAGAGUGCGGCAGAGGGGGAUGGAAUUCCGCGUGUAGCAGUGAAAUGCGUAGAUAUGCGGAGGAACACCGAUGGCGAAGGCAAUCCCCUGGGCCUGCACUGACGCUCAUGCACGAAAGCGUGGGGAGCAAACAGGAUUAGAUACCCGCGUAGUCCCUGUCUCUUAUAC
This 301-nucleotide ribosomal RNA is filed under the name uncultured bacterium. Its description in RNAcentral is "partial 16S ribosomal RNA". It matches the Rfam family "Bacterial small subunit ribosomal RNA", at positions 509 to 807 of the family's 1533-position model. The record is from RNAcentral.